RNAcentral lists this unclassified non-coding RNA (264 nucleotides) under uncultured fungus. RNAcentral describes it as "sequence contains ITS2". The stretch from base 1 to 52 matches the Rfam family "5.8S ribosomal RNA", at positions 103 to 154 of the family's 154-position model. The record is from RNAcentral. Lineage: Eukaryota; Fungi.
AACGCACAUUGCGCCCUUUGGUAUUCCGAAGGGCAUGCCUGUUCGAGCGUCAUUAUCACCCCUCGGGCCCCGUGCUCGGUGUUGGACGGCCGGUUCGGGCGACCGAACCCCUCCUAAAGACAAUGACGGCGGCCUGUGGUUCCCCCGGCACACUGAGCCUCUGGCACGUGUCGGACGAGGGCGCCCAGGACCCGGUCUUCUCCUCUCAGCAGGAAACUUCUCAAGGUUGACCUCGGAUCAGGUAGGAAUACGCGCUGAACUUAA